This 380-nucleotide ribosomal RNA is filed under the name marine Metazoa environmental sample. RNAcentral describes it as "partial small subunit ribosomal RNA". The stretch from base 48 to 380 matches the Rfam family "Eukaryotic small subunit ribosomal RNA", at positions 634 to 972 of the family's 1831-position model. Lineage: Eukaryota; Metazoa. The record is from RNAcentral.
AGCUCCAAUCUCUUCUCUUCCCUUUUUUUCUUUUCCCCCUCUCUUCUUUCGCUUUCUUCCCUUUCCUCUUUUUCCUCCCUCUUUUUUGUGUACUGAUCGGUCUGUUCUUCUUCGCGAAGACCGCGUGUGCCCUUAACUGGGUGGGCGUGGGAUUCACGACGUUUACUUUGAAAAAAUUAGAGUGUUCAAAGCAGGCAUUAGCUUGAAUAUCUCAGCAUGGAAUAAUAGAAUAGGACUUUGGUCUUAUUUUGUUGGUUUCCGAGACCGAAGUAAUGAUUAAUAGGGACAGUUGGGGGCAUUCGUAUUUCAUUGUCAGAGGUGAAAUUCUUGGAUUUAUGAAAGACGAACUUCUGCGAAAGCAUUUGCCAAGGAUGUUUUCA